CCUACGGGUGGCAGCAGUCGAGAAUCAUUCACAAUGGGGGAAACCCUGAUGGUGCGACGCCGCGUGGGGGAAUGAAGGUCUUCGGAUUGUAAACCCCUGUCAUGUGGGAGCAAAUUAAAAAGAUAGUACCACAAGAGGAAGAGACGGCUAACUCUGUGCCAGCAGCCGCGGUAAUGCAAAGGUCUCAAGCGUUGUUCGGAAGCACUGGGCGUAAAGCGUGCGUAGGCUGUUUUGUAAGUCGUGUGUGAAAGGCGCGGGCUCAACCCGCGGACGGCACAUGAUACUGGGAGACUAGUGUAAGGGAGAGGGAAGCGGAAUUCUCGGUGUAGCAGUGAAAUGCGUAGAUAUCGGGAGGAACACUCGUGGCGAAGGCGGGUUCCUGGGCAUUAACUGACGCUGAGGCACGAAGGCGAGGGGAGCGAAAGGGAUUAGAUACCCCUGUAGUC
This 446-nucleotide ribosomal RNA is filed under the name uncultured bacterium. RNAcentral describes it as "partial 16S ribosomal RNA". It matches the Rfam family "Bacterial small subunit ribosomal RNA", at positions 338 to 795 of the family's 1533-position model. The record is from RNAcentral.